AGAGUUUGAUCAUGGCUCAGAACGAACGCUGGCGGCAGGCUUAACACAUGCAAGUCGAGCGCCCCGCAAGGGGAGCGGCAGACGGGUGAGUAACGCGUGGGAACAUACCCUCCGGUUCGGAAUAGCUCAGGGAAACUUGGAUUAAUACCGGAUACGGCCUAGCGGCGAAAGAUUCAUCGCCGGAGGAUUGGCCCGCGUUCGAUUAGCUAGUUGGUGAGGUAAUGGCUCACCAAGGCGACGAUCGAUAGCUGGUCUGAGAGGAUGAUCAGCCACAUUGGGACUGAGACACGGCCCAAACUCCUACGGGAGGCAGCAGUGGGGAAUAUUGGACAAUGGGCGCAAGCCUGAUCCAGCCAUGCCGCGUGAGUGAUGACGGCCUUAGGGUUGUAAAGCUCUUUCGCUAGGGACGAUAAUGACGGUACCUAGACAAGAAGCCCCGGCUAACUUCGUGCCAGCAGCCGCGGUAAUACGAAGGGGGCUAGCGUUGUUCGGAAUUACUGGGCGUAAAGCGCGUGUAGGCGGGCGAAUAAGUCAGGGGUGAAAUGCCAAGGCUCAACCUUGGAACUGCCUUUGAUACUGUUCGUCUUGAGUCCGGGAGAGGUGAGUGGAACUGCGAGUGUAGAGGUGAAAUUCGUAGAUAUUCGCAAGAACACCAGUGGCGAAGGCGGCUCACUGGCCCGGAACUGACGCUGAGACGCGAAAGCGUGGGGAGCAAACAGGAUUAGAUACCCUGGUAGUCCACGCUGUAAACGAUGGAUGCUAGCCGUUGGGGAGCUUGCUCUUCAGUGGCGCAGCUAACGCUUUAAGCAUCCCGCCUGGGGAGUACGGUCGCA
This 833-nucleotide ribosomal RNA is filed under the name uncultured bacterium. Its description in RNAcentral is "bacterial SSU rRNA". It matches the Rfam family "Bacterial small subunit ribosomal RNA", at positions 8 to 890 of the family's 1533-position model. The record is from RNAcentral.